Molecule: long non-coding RNA, 1262 nt
Filed under: Hordeum vulgare
Lineage: Eukaryota; Viridiplantae; Streptophyta; Magnoliopsida; Poales; Poaceae
Description: long non-coding RNA (HVUL_LNC003878)
Source: RNAcentral
CACCUUUCUUCUUGAUGUAUGGAGCUGAAGCUGUCUUGCCGAGUGUUCUCCUUCAUAAUUCUCCCCGUGUGGAUUUAUAUUCAGAAGCUGAAGCUGAACAGGCGCGGCAGGACGGAGUGGAUCUCUUGGAAGAGGAGCGUGAACUGGCCUUAAUUCGGUCGACUGUAUACCAACAAGAUCUUCGUCGCUUCCAUGCAAAGCAUGUCAGGAGUCGGGCGUUCCACGAAGGCGAUAUGGUUCUCUGAGUGGAUAAACAGAGACCUCACAAGCUAGCCCCUACGUGCGAAGGACCAUUCGUCGUCACCAUGGUACUGAACAAUGGAGCCUACCAUCUUUACAACCUCAAGAAGAGAGCCGAUGAACCCCGUGCUUGGAAUGCAGAUGUACUCUGACGUUUUUAUGCUUGACAACCGAUGGGAUUGAUGUAAUAAGAGAGCUUACUGAACAAUGUUGCUUGUCAAAGUCAUAAUUUCUACAAUUUGUGUCGAUUCCGAUCGAGCAGUUUCACACCCAAAAUAUACUCCGAGUGAAGAGCAAUCCUCUCACUCGGGGGCUUAGUCGCGAACAUGUUUUUGCCUAAGUUAAAAACCCUUCCGAGUGGAUAGCAACCUAUUCACUCGGAUGCUUAGCUGCGAACCAGUCUUCGCCUAAGUAUAGAAUAUAUUCUGAGUGAAAAGUAAUCCUCUCACUCGGGGGCUUAGCCGCGAACAUGUUUUCGCCUAAGUUGAAAUCCCUUCCGAGUGGAUAGCAACCUAUUCACUCGGAUGCUUAGCUGCGAACCAGUCUUCGCCUAAGUAUAGCCUAAGUAUAGAAUAUACUCCGAGUGAAGAGCAAUCCUCUCACUCGGGGUCUUAGCUGCGAACAUGUUUUCGCCUAAGUUAAAAACCCUUCCGAAUGGAUAGCAACCUAUUCACUCGGAUGCUUAGCUGCGAACCAGUCUUCGCCUAAACAUAGAAAUUACUCCGAGUGAAGAGCAAUCCUUUCACUCGGGGGCUUAGCCGCGAAUCAAUCGCCUAAGUAAAAAAUCUUUCCGAAUGAAUAGCAACCUAUUCACUCGGGAACAUUCAAAAACCAAACAAACUCAGCCAAAUGCAAAUAAAUUCGAAGAAAUCCAGCACGGAUUAAAGUCGUCCAUGCAGACGAAGGUACUCGGGUUCAACACCCGAACGAAGUUCUAAUGGAUACAGUAACACUCGGCAUACCGAUGCGAAUUAAAGUUUGGACGGUAAUCAAAGUUCCUUCUCAAGGCUCACCAGGACUCG